Molecule: long non-coding RNA, 375 nt
Organism: Anas platyrhynchos (mallard)
Lineage: Eukaryota; Metazoa; Chordata; Aves; Anseriformes; Anatidae
Source: RefSeq, a predicted model, not a curated record
CCAGACAUGCAGUCCUGGCUGAAAGUGCAUAUUUGUCAGUGUGCCUUGAAGGUCUGGUCAACUACCAUGAAGAAAAAUGCACAGCUCUACAUGUCCACUCAAAAAGAGCAGGGUCCCUGAAGGCAUUUUUACCUGGGUGGGGAUAAUAUCUCAUUCUUUUAGCCUCAGAGGGGGAAAGAAAUCGUUACCAUAUCACCAGCUCCCUUGCUCUUCCCAUCUCAGGAAUGCUAUGAAUAGUGUUUUCAGAAUGGCUAGAAAAUUCACCUGUAUGCAAGAGAACAUCACUAAAUACCACUUAGAGAUCUUCAUAGAUUGGAAGCUACUCCCCAGUACAACAGCAUGAAUGUCUUUUUAAUUCAAAGGGAAUCAAAUAUA